AAUGUAUGGUCAGGUAUGCCCAAAGAAUGCUGUGGAGCUUGUCUACCCAAAGUCCUCUUUCUCUAUCCGGACACAUCUUCAGGCCCUACAAAAUUAUCCUAUUGGUUAUCUCCGCUUCUUCGUUUAACUGGGGGUGUCCAACUGAGGUAAGACGAUGUUUGAUGUGCAGAUUGGUGUAGAACGUUCUGAAGUAGGCAUUAUCAAACUUCUUUUCGUUGUCGGUAACAAUGGAAUGGGGAAGUCCGAAGCAGCAUAGGACUCAUCUCCAUACGAAAUCAUGGGUGUUCUUCUCGGUGAUUCAGGCUAGAGGCUCGGCUUCAAUCCACUUGUAAAGUAGUCGAUGGCCACUAUCAAGAAUUUUCUCUCCUCGGUCAUUUGAGGGAAUGACCUAAGGAUGUUCCAGCCCCACUGGGCAAAUCGAUCAUGGCACGCUAAUUGGUGUGAGAGGCAUG
Molecule: long non-coding RNA, 452 nt
Filed under: Phoenix dactylifera (date palm)
Lineage: Eukaryota; Viridiplantae; Streptophyta; Magnoliopsida; Arecales; Arecaceae
Description: long non-coding RNA (PDAC_LNC005463)
Source: RNAcentral